This 328-nucleotide ribosomal RNA is filed under the name Salmonella enterica subsp. enterica serovar Derby. RNAcentral's name for it is "bacterial SSU rRNA". It matches the Rfam family "Bacterial small subunit ribosomal RNA", at positions 104 to 435 of the family's 1533-position model. The record is from RNAcentral. Lineage: Bacteria; Pseudomonadati; Pseudomonadota; Gammaproteobacteria; Enterobacterales; Enterobacteriaceae. RNAcentral also lists the same sequence under 3 other names.
GGGUGAGUAAUGUCUGGGAAACUGCCUGAUGGAGGGGGAUAACUACUGGAAACGGUGGCUAAUACCGCAUAACGUCGCAAGACCAAAGAGGGGGACCUUCGGGCCUCUUGCCAUCAGAUGUGCCCAGAUGGGAUUAGCUUGUUGGUGAGGUAACGGCUCACCAAGGCGACGAUCCCUAGCUGGUCUGAGAGGAUGACCAGCCACACUGGAACUGAGACACGGUCCAGACUCCUACGGGAGGCAGCAGUGGGGAAUAUUGCACAAUGGGCGCAAGCCUGAUGCAGCCAUGCCGCGUGUAUGAAGAAGGCCUUCGGGUUGUAAAGUACUU